Molecule: small nucleolar RNA, 128 nt
Organism: Sapajus apella (tufted capuchin)
Lineage: Eukaryota; Metazoa; Chordata; Mammalia; Primates; Cebidae
Product: small nucleolar RNA SNORA31
Exons: 1
Source: RefSeq, a predicted model, not a curated record
CUGCAUCCGUUGAUAGACCUUGAACAGUUUGCUGUUGUUUUUGGUUUGCGCCAGGAUGCAAAAGAAAGAAAUCCCUGCACUUCCUUUCGGUCUUUCUGGCAGCCCAGAGUAAACUGGGGAAUAUAUCU